This 484-nucleotide ribosomal RNA is filed under the name uncultured bacterium. RNAcentral describes it as "partial 16S ribosomal RNA". It matches the Rfam family "Bacterial small subunit ribosomal RNA", at positions 36 to 507 of the family's 1533-position model. The record is from RNAcentral.
CUUUCCCUCUGGCGGCAGGCCUAACACAUGCAAGUCGAGCGGAUGAAGGGAGCUUGCUCCUGGAUUCAGCGGCGGACGGGUGAGUAAUGCCUAGGAAUCUGCCUGGUAGUGGGGGAUAACGUCCGGAAACGGGCGCUAAUACCGCAUACGUCCUGAGGGAGAAAGUGGGGGAUCUUCGGACCUCACGCUAUCAGAUGAGCCUAGGUCGGAUUAGCUAGUUGGUGGGGUAAAGGCCUACCAAGGCGACGAUCCGUAACUGGUCUGAGAGGAUGAUCAGUCACACUGGAACUGAGACACAGUCCAGACUCCUACGGGAGGCAGCAGUGGGGAAUAUUGGACAAUGGGCGAAAGCCUGAUCCAGCCAUGCCGCGUGUGUGAAGAAGGUCUUCGGAUUGUAAAGCACUUUAAGUUGGGAGGAAGGGCAGUAAGUUAAUACCUUGCUGUUUUGACGUUACCAACAGAAUAAGCACCGGCCAACUUCGUG